CUUCUUUUCAAGGUUUUUAGGGUUCUUGGGUUUUGGCGAUGGCGCUGGACAGUCGGCACCACGCGUUCAUCCAAUCGCUCCUGGCGCGGGGGCCGCAGCCGGCUGUGGAUUGCAAGAAAAUGUUCCAGAAGCUGUUCGAUGCUCAACCCGGAGAGGUGGAGGAGAAUUUUUUCGAUUUUCUCAAGGUGUACAACAAGCACCUCGAUUUUUUCCAGCUCGAGAUUAGGGGCAGCACCAAUCAGCACGAUGGAACCCAGUACUAUGGAGUGGUGAACAAGCUUGCUAGUGAGCCAGCCAAGCUAGCGACGCAAUACACGCCCGCUCAGAUCGCUUACUUCAAAGCUCUGGUGGAAGCCAUCGUCCAAGAACCAUCUGGCGAGCUGUCCAGUAUAGAUGCGCUCAAUUUGCGAGAAGAUCAAACUCGAGAUUCACAAGAAGCAAGUUCCUCCCAGUCUGUAUCUCUACCGAAACUUAGUUUGGCUCAGCGUGACAAAGUUUUAGGCGAUCUGGCUGCUGAUAAGUGGCUCUAUAGGACAGAAGAUGGCGGUGUUUCCUUGGGGAUUAAGUCUUUUCUGGAGCUCCGGAGUGUUUUCAUGAACCUGGAAGUACCGUUCUGUGAUGUCUGCAACGAAGCAGCGAUAAAGGCUAUGCGGUGUCAAAACGAGGAUUGCUCAGCUCGAAUGCAUAGUUACUGCGCUAAAACUAAGUUCCAAAGGCCCGAGAUUCCGAGGUCUUGCGCUAGCUGUGGCUCCGAGUGGGACUGUGAAGGACUGGGUCUGAACGAGGACAUCCAGCCAGAACCUGCCGAGAACGAGCAAAGGACCAAGAGACGGAGGAGAGCCAGAAGCUAACUUCUUUUCUUCUACAGCAACAGGAACGGGCAUAGUAAUCUAAGUGGAGGUUGCGACGGCCUUUGCACCCUUGUAAGCGUGCUGCAGGAGGACUCUGUCAGAUAGUGUCGAUGAAACUCAUGUUGUUGUGACGAACACUGCGCUGAAAUCUUGGAGGAUUGCACUUGCAACUGUCGAGAACGGCAAGGACUGCAAGGACAAAGAACCAAUGCUGAAGUUUUCCUUUUGGCUUUCUGCAUCACGAUGGCACACUUCUGCUGCCAAGAACGUCAUAGCAACAGUUUGCGACCGCUUCGUCGCUAUUCCAUCAUUUACAAUACGAGCAAGAGCAGGAACUUUCUCGCCACAAAUGAUCGCAAGCUCGACCAUAAUCUCAGAAAUCUUUACCGCUUUGGCGAAGCACCUCGACCCUGGCAUCACGGUUCCAGAUUCUUACCGCUUCGAAGAAGUCCAUAGUAAACGAAGCUCCGGCCGACACGUUUUCUCUCUUCGUUUUUCCUGCUCGUUGGGAAGUUGGCGACGAGCCUCGCGUUCACGAGUACAGGAAAGACCGCACGUAUGGAAAGCUGGCCGGGAUGAAAGUUCACAGCAAACUAUAUCUUAUAAAAACCAUUCUUGCCGUUGGCAAGCUUACAGUU
RNA transcript from Selaginella moellendorffii, 1489 nucleotides. It is a transcript of the gene named non-structural maintenance of chromosomes element 1 homolog, with no coding region annotated. The transcript has 9 exons. The record is from RefSeq and is a predicted model, not a curated record. NCBI's taxonomy places the organism in Eukaryota, Viridiplantae, Streptophyta, Lycopodiopsida, Selaginellales, Selaginellaceae.